Molecule: transfer RNA, 73 nt
Filed under: Trichonephila inaurata madagascariensis
Lineage: Eukaryota; Metazoa; Arthropoda; Arachnida; Araneae; Nephilidae
Rfam family: tRNA
About the family: Transfer RNA (tRNA) molecules are approximately 80 nucleotides in length. Their secondary structure includes four short double-helical elements and three loops (D, anti-codon, and T loops).
Source: Rfam by way of RNAcentral
GGGGGCGUAGCUAAGAUGGUAGAGCGCUCGCUUAGCAUGUGAGAGGUAUGGGGAUUGAUACACCGUGCCUCCA